UUAAGUUAAUAAGGGCGCACGGUGGAUGCCUUGGCACUAGAAGCCGAUGAAGGACGUGACUAACGACGAAAUGCUUUGGGGAGUUGUAAGUAAACAUUGAUCCAGAGAUAUCCGAAUGGGGGAACCCGGCAUGUGAUGCAUGUCACUCAUUACUGUUAAGGUAAUGAAGAGGAAGACGCAGUGAACUGAAACAUCUAAGUAGCUGCAGGAAGAGAAAGCAAACUUAAACCCUAGCAGUAUCCUGAGUACGGCGAGACACGAGAAAUCUCGUCGGAAUCUGGGAGGACCAUCUCCCAACCCUAAAUACUCUCUAGUGACCGAUAGUGAACCAGUACCGUGAGGGAAAGGUGAAAAGCACCCCGGGAGGGGAGUGAAAUAGAACCUGAAACCGUGUGCCUACAACAAGUUCGAGCCCGUUAAUGGGUGAGAGCGUGCCUUUUGUAGAAUGAACCGGCGAGUUACGAUAUGAUGCGAGGUUAAGUUGAAGAGACGGAGCCGUAGGGAAACCGAGUCUUAAUAGGGCGGCUUAAUAGCUUUAGGGCUAGCGUCGAUGUUAAGUCUCUUGGAGGUAGAGCACUGUUUGAUUGAGGGGUCCAUCCCGGAUUACCAAUAUCAGAUAAACUCCGAAUGCCAAUGAGAUAUAAUCGGCAGUCAGACUGCGAGUGCUAAGAUCCGUAGUCGAAAGGGAAACAGCCCAGACCACCAGCUAAGGUCCCAAAAUAUAUGUUAAGUGGAAAAGGAUGUGGGGUUGCACAGACAACUAGGAUGUUAGCUUAGAAGCAGCUAUUCAUUCAAAGAGUGCGUAAUAGCUCACUAGUCGAGUGACCCUGCGCCGAAAAUGUACCGGGGCUAAAACAUAUUACCGAAGCUGUGGAUACCUUUUAGGUAUGGUAGGAGAGCGUUCUAUGUGUGAAGAAGGUGUACCGUGAGGAGCGCUGGAACGCAUAGAAGUGAGAAUGCCGGUAUGAGUAGCGAAAGACAGGUGAGAAUCCUGUCCACCGUAAGACUAAGGUUUCCAGGGGAAGGCUCGUCCGCCCUGGGUUAGUCGGGACCUAAGGAGAGACCGAAAGGUGUAUCCGAUGGCCAACAGGUUGAUAUUCCUGUACUAGAGUAUAUAGUGAAGGAGGGACGCAGUAGGCUAACUAAAGCGUGCGAUUGGAAGAGCACGUCUAAGCAGUGAGGUGUGAUAUGAGUCAAAUGCUUAUAUCUAUAACAUUGAGCUGUGAUGGGGAGCGAAGUUAAGUAGCGAAGUUAGUGAUGUCACACUGCCAAGAAAAGCUUCUAGCGUUAAUUAUACUCUACCCGUACCGCAAACCGACACAGGUAGUCGAGGCGAGUAGCCUCAGGUGAGCGAGAGAACUCUCGUUAAGGAACUCGGCAAAAUGGCCCCGUAACUUCGGGAGAAGGGGCGCUGGCUUAGAGUCAGCCGCAGUGAAUAGGCCCAAGCAACUGUUUAUCAAAAACACAGCUCUCUGCUAAAUCGUAAGAUGAUGUAUAGGGGGUGACGCCUGCCCGGUGCUGGAAGGUUAAGAGGAGCGCUUAGCGUUAGCGAAGGUGUGAAUUGAAGCCCCAGUAAACGGCGGCCGUAACUAUAACGGUCCUAAGGUAGCGAAAUUCCUUGUCGGGUAAGUUCCGACCCGCACGAAAGGCGUAAUGAUUUGGGCACUGUCUCAACGAGAGACUCGGUGAAAUUUUAGUACCUGUGAAGAUGCAGGUUACCCGCGACAGGACGGAAAGACCCCAUGGAGCUUUACUGCAGUUUGAUAUUGAGUAUCUGUACCACAUGUACAGGAUAGGUAGGAGCCUACGAAAUCGGGACGCUAGUUUCGGUGGAGGCGUUGUUGGGAUACUACCCUUGUGUUAUGGCUACUCUAACCUAGAUAGGUAAUCCCUAUCGGAGACAGUGUCUGACGGGCAGUUUGACUGGGGCGGUCGCCUCCUAAAAGGUAACGGAGGCGCCCAAAGGUUCCCUCAGAAUGGUUGGAAAUCAUUCGCAGAGUGUAAAGGUAUAAGGGAGCUUGACUGCGAGAGCUACAACUCGAGCAGGGACGAAAGUCGGGCUUAGUGAUCCGGUGGUUCCGCAUGGAAGGGCCAUCGCUCAACGGAUAAAAGCUACCCUGGGGAUAACAGGCUUAUCUCCCCCAAGAGUUCACAUCGACGGGGAGGUUUGGCACCUCGAUGUCGGCUCGUCGCAUCCUGGGGCUGUAGUCGGUCCCAAGGGUUGGGCUGUUCGCCCAUUAAAGCGGCACGCGAGCUGGGUUCAGAACGUCGUGAGACAGUUCGGUCCCUAUCCGUCGCGGGCGUAGGAAAUUUGAGAGGAUCUGCUCCUAGUACGAGAGGACCAGAGUGGACUUACCGCUGGUGUACCAGUUGU
This 2374-nucleotide ribosomal RNA is filed under the name human gut metagenome. Its description in RNAcentral is "bacterial LSU rRNA". It matches the Rfam family "Bacterial large subunit ribosomal RNA". The record is from RNAcentral.